This 638-nucleotide ribosomal RNA is filed under the name Clostridia bacterium. RNAcentral's name for it is "bacterial SSU rRNA". It matches the Rfam family "Bacterial small subunit ribosomal RNA", at positions 897 to 1533 of the family's 1533-position model. The record is from RNAcentral. Lineage: Bacteria; Bacillati; Bacillota; Clostridia.
AAACUCAAAGGAAUUGACGGGGGCCCGCACAAGCAGUGGAGUAUGUGGUUUAAUUCGAAGCAACGCGAAGAACCUUACCAGGUCUUGACAUCAGAUGCAUACCUAAGAGAUUAGGGAAGUCCUUCGGGACAUCUAGACAGGUGGUGCAUGGUUGUCGUCAGCUCGUGUCGUGAGAUGUUGGGUUAAGUCCCGCAACGAGCGCAACCCUUAUCAUUAGUUACUACGAAAGAGGACUCUAAUGAGACUGCCGUUGACAAAACGGAGGAAGGUGGGGAUGACGUCAAAUCAUCAUGCCCUUUAUGACCUGGGCUACACACGUACUACAAUGGCAAUUAACAGAGGGAAGCAAUACCGCGAGGUGGAGCCAACCCCAGAAAAAUUGUCUCAGUUCGGAUUGGAGGCUGCAACUCGCCUCCAUGAAGCCGGAAUUGCUAGUAAUCGCGGAUCAGCAUGCCGCGGUGAAUACGUUCCCGGGCCUUGUACACACCGCCCGUCACACCAUGAGAGCCGGGGGGACCCGAAGUCGGUAGUCUAACCGCAAGGAGGACGCCGCCGAAGGUAAAACUGGUGAUUGGGGUGAAGUCGUAACAAGGUAGCCGUAUCGGAAGGUGCGGCUGGAUCACCUCCUUUCUAAGGAG